CGGGACACGUGGUAUCCUGUCUGAAUAUGGGGGGACCAUCCUCCAAGGCUAAAUACUCCUGACUGACCGAUAGUGAACCAGUACCGUGAGGGAAAGGCGAAAAGAACCCCGGCGAGGGGAGUGAAAAAGAACCUGAAACCGUGUACGUACAAGCAGUGGGAGCACAGAGCAAUCUGUGUGACUGCGUACCUUUUGUAUAAUGGGUCAGCGACUUAUAUUCUGUAGCAAGGUUAACCGAAUAGGGGAGCCGAAGGGAAACCGAGUCUUAACUGGGCGUUAAGUUGCAGGGUAUAGACCCGAAACCCGGUGAUCUAGCCAUGGGCAGGUUGAAGGUUGGGUAACACUAACUGGAGGACCGAACCGACUAAUGUUGAAAAAUUAGCGGAUGACUUGUGGCUGGGGGUGAAAGGCCAAUCAAACCGGGAGAUAGCUGGUUCUCCCCGAAAGCUAUUUAGGUAGCGCCUCGUGAAUUCAUCUCCGGGGGUAGAGCACUGUUUCGGCAAGGGGGUCAUCCCGACUUACCAACCCGAUGCAAACUGCGAAUACCGGAGAAUGUUAUCACGGGAGACACACGGCGGGUGCUAACGUCCGUCGUGAAGAGGGAAACAACCCAGACCGCCAGCUAAGGUCCCAAAGUCAUGGUUAAGUGGGAAACGAUGUGGGAAGGCCCAGACAGCCAGGAUGUUGGCUUAGAAGCAGCCAUCAUUUAAAGAAAGCGUAAUAGCUCACUGGUCGAGUCGGCCUGCGCGGAAGAUGUAACGGGGCUAAACCAUGCACCGAAGCUGCGGCAGCGACGCUGAUGCGUUGUUGGGUAGGGGAGCGUUCUGUAAGCCUGUGAAGGUGUGCUGUGAGGCAUGCUGGAGGUAUCAGAAGUGCGAAUGCUGACAUAAGUAACGAUAAAGCGGGUGAAAAGCCCGCUCGCCGGAAGACCAAGGGUUCCUGUCCAACGUUAAUCGGGGCAGGGUGAGUCGACCCCUAAGGCGAGGCCGAAAGGCGUAGUCGAUGGGAAACAGGUUAAUAUUCCUGUACUUGGUGUUACUGCGAAGGGGGGACGGAGAAGGCUAUGUUGGCCGGGCGACGGUUGUCCCGGUUUAAGCGUGUAGGCUGGUUUUCCAGGCAAAUCCGGAAAAUCAAGGCUGAGGCGUGAUGACGAGGCACUACGGUGCUGAAGCAACAAAUGCCCUGCUUCCAGGAAAAGCCUCUAAGCAUCAGGUAACAUCAAAUCGUACCCCAAACCGACACAGGUGGUCAGGUAGAGAAUACCAAGGCGCUUGAGAGAACUCGGGUGAAGGAACUAGGCAAAAUGGUGCCGUAACUUCGGGAGAAGG
RNAcentral lists this ribosomal RNA (1328 nucleotides) under Escherichia coli. RNAcentral describes it as "partial 23S ribosomal RNA". It matches the Rfam family "Bacterial large subunit ribosomal RNA", at positions 418 to 1746 of the family's 2925-position model. Lineage: Bacteria; Pseudomonadati; Pseudomonadota; Gammaproteobacteria; Enterobacterales; Enterobacteriaceae. The record is from RNAcentral.